RNAcentral lists this ribosomal RNA (350 nucleotides) under uncultured bacterium. Its description in RNAcentral is "bacterial SSU rRNA". It matches the Rfam family "Bacterial small subunit ribosomal RNA", at positions 527 to 876 of the family's 1533-position model. The record is from RNAcentral.
GUAGGGGGCAAGCGUUAUCCGGAUUUACUGGGUGUAAAGGGAGCGUAGACGGCUGUGCAAGUCUGAAGUGAAAGGCAUGGGCUCAACCUGUGGACUGCUUUGGAAACUGUGCAGCUAGAGUGUCGGAGAGGUAAGUGGAAUUCCUAGUGUAGCGGUGAAAUGCGUAGAUAUUAGGAGGAACACCAGUGGCGAAGGCGGCUUACUGGACGAUGACUGACGUUGAGGCUCGAAAGCGUGGGGAGCAAACAGGAUUAGAUACCCUGGUAGUCCACGCCGUAAACGAUGACUGCUAGGUGUCGGGUAGCUAAGCUAUUCGGUGCCGCAGCUAACGCAAUAAGCAGUCCACCUAA